GCACAAGCAGCGGAGCGUGUGGUUUAAUUCGAUGCUACACGAAGAACCUUACCUGGAUUUGACAUGCACGUAGUAGUGAACCGAAAGGGGAACGAGCCUUCGGGCAGCGUGCACAGGUGCUGCAUGGCUGUCGUCAGCUCGUGCCGUGAGGUGUUGGGUUAAGUCCCGCAACGAGCGCAACCCUCGUCGCUAGUUACAUGUGUCUAGCGAGACUGCCAGGUUAACCCUGGAGGAAGUGGGAUGACGUCAAGUCAGCAUGGCCUUUAUGUCCAGGGCUACACACACGCUACAAUGGUCGGUACAAUGGGAUGCCAAGCCGCGAGGCGGAGCAAAUCCUCAAAGCCGGCCUCAGUUCGGAUUGGAGGCUGCAACUCGCCUCCAUGAAGUCGGAGUUGCUAGUAACCGCAGGUCAGCUAUACUGCGGUGAAUACGUUCCCGGGCCUU
This 444-nucleotide ribosomal RNA is filed under the name uncultured Caldilineaceae bacterium. Its description in RNAcentral is "bacterial SSU rRNA". It matches the Rfam family "Bacterial small subunit ribosomal RNA", at positions 923 to 1382 of the family's 1533-position model. The record is from RNAcentral. Lineage: Bacteria; Bacillati; Chloroflexota; Caldilineae; Caldilineales; Caldilineaceae.